Ribosomal RNA from Clostridiales bacterium, 2901 nucleotides. It matches the Rfam family "Bacterial large subunit ribosomal RNA". The record is from Rfam. NCBI's taxonomy places the organism in Bacteria, Bacillati, Bacillota, Clostridia, Eubacteriales.
GGUCAAGUUACAAAGAGCGCAGGGUGAAUGCCUUGCCACCAUGAGACGAAGAAGGACGUGACAAGCUGCGAAAAGCUACGGGUAGGAGCACAUAUCCAUUGAUCCGUAGAUAUCCGAAUGGGGAAACCCGGUUUAGUUAAGAGCUAGAUCAGCAUAACAUGAAUACAUAGUGUUAUGCGGUGAGACGAGGUGAACUGAAACAUCUAAGUAGCCUCAGGAAGAGAAAUCAAACGAGAUUCCGUAAGUAGUGGCGAGCGAAAGCGGAAGAGGCCAAACUGAGUAACUACGGUUAUUCAGGGUAAGGACUACAAAAACGAAUGCAUAAGCUAGUCGAAUGAGCAGAAGGAAAGCUGAGUCCAAAGAGCGUAAUAGUCGCGUAGGCGAAAGCGAGUGCAACGAAGUAGGAUCCGGAGUACUGUGAGACACGAGAAAUCUUGCAGGAAGGAAGGGGGACCACCCUCUAAGCCUAAAUACUACAUGGUGAGCGAUAGAGAAGAAGUACUGUGAAGGAAAGGUGAAAAGAACCCCGGGAGGGGAGUGAAAAAGAACCUGAAACCCUGUGUUUACAAGCAGUUAGAGAGCGUUAAGGCUCGAUAGCGUACUUUUUGUAGAACGGUCCAACGAGUUAUGGCAGUGAGCGAGGUUAAGGACUAAAGGUCUGGAGCCGAAGGGAAACCGAGUGUGAAAAGCGCGGAAAGUUUGCUGUUAUAGACCCGAAACCGGGUGACCUACCCAUGAGCAGGUUGAAGGAGAGGUAAAACUCUCUGGAGGACCGAACACGUAUCUGUUGAAAAAGGUUGUGAUGACUUGUGGGUAGCGGAGAAAUUCCAAUCGAACCCGGAGAUAGCUGGUUCUCCCCGAAAUAACUUUAGGGCUAGCCCAAUCAAAGAAGUCUCACGGAGGUAGAGCACUGAAUGGUCUAGGGGCCUUACCAGGCUACCGAAACCUAUCAAACUCCGAAUGCCGCAGAGAUAUAGAUUGGAGUCAGUCAGUGACAGAUAAGUGCCAUUGACAAGAGGGAAACAACCCAGAUCGUCAGCUAAGGUCCCUAAAUUACAGCUAAGUGGAAAAGGAUGUGAGUUUGCAUAGACAGCUAGGAUGUUGGCUUAGAAGCAGCCACUCAUUAAAAGAGUGCGUAAUAGCUCACUAGUCGAGUGAAUUUGCGCCGAAGAUAAACGGGGCUAAGCUGUAUACCGAAGCUACGGAAUCGAGAGAUUGGUAGGGGAGCGUACUGUAAGCAGGAGAAGCAUGAACGGAAGUACAUGUGGAUGUAUCAGUAGUGAGAAUGUUGGAAUAAGUAACGAGAGCAUAGUGAGAAUCUAUGCCGUCGAAAAUCUAAGGUUUCCUGGGGAAGGUUCGUCCGCCCAGGGUUAGUCGGGACCUAAGACGAGGCCGAGAGGCGUAGCCGAUGGAGAACAGGUCAAAAUUCCUGUACCGCCGUUAUAUGUAUAAGAGAGGCAGGGACACAGGAGGAUAAUUUAGCUCACUGCAAAAAGAGUGAGUUCAAGCAGAGAAGCUGGGAUGUAGUAAAGAACGCAUCCAAAGGCAAGCUGUGAUGAGGAGGGAAAUAAAGUACCGAAGUAAAUGAUUCCACACUGGCGAGAAAAGCUGCUAUUUAGUAUAAAGGCGCCCGUACCGUAAACCGACACAGGUAGAUGAGGAGAGAAUCCUAAGACGAGCGGGAGAAGCGUUGUUAAGGAACUCGGCAAAUUAACCCCGUAAGUUCGCGAGAAGGGGAGCCUAAGCAAUUAGGUCGCAGAGAAAUGGCUCGAGCAACUGUUUAGCAAAAACACAGGUCUCCGCUAAAUCGAAAGAUGAAGUAUGGGGGCUGACGCCUGCCCGGUGCUGGAAGGUCAAGGGGAAAUGUUAGAGCAAUCGAAGCAUAGAACUUAAGCCCCAGUAAACGGCGGCCGUAACUAUAACGGUCCUAAGGUAGCGAAAUUCCUUGUCAGGUAAGUUCUGACCCGCACGAAUGGCGUAAUGACUUGAGCACUGUCUCAACAACGUACCCGGUGAAAUUGUAGUACUUGUGAAGAUGCAAGUUACCCGCAACUAGACGGAAAGACCCCAUGGAGCUUCACUGUAGAUUGUUACUGGGAUUCGAUAUUAUCUGUACAGCAUAGGUGGGAAGCUGAGAACUUGAGUCGUCAGAUUCAAGGGAGCUAACGGUGGGAUACCACUCUGAUGAUAUUGAAUUUCUAACCAGUUGCCAUAAUCUGGCAAUGGGACAAUGGCAGUCGGGCAGUUUGACUGGGGCGGUCGCCUCCAAAAAAGUAACGGAGGCGUUCAAAGGUUUCCUCAGCACGGUUGGAAAUCGUGCAACGAGUGCAAAGGCAUAAGGGAGCCUGACUGCGAGACGUACAUGUCGAGCAGAUACGAAAGUAGGACUUAGUGAUCCGGCGGUAGAAAGUGGAAUUGCCGUCGCUCAACGGACAAAAGUUACCCUGGGGAUAACAGGCUGAUUCCUCCCAAGAGUUCACAUCGACGGGGGAGUUUGGCACCUCGAUGUCGGCUCAUCACAUCCUGGAGGGGAAGUCCCUUCCAAGGGUUCGGCUGUUCGCCGAUUAAAGUGGUACGCGAGCUGGGUUCAGAACGUCGUGAGACAGUUCGGUCCCUAUCUGUUGUGGGCGUUGGAAAUUUGAGAAGAGCUGUCCCUAGUACGAGAGGACCGGGAUGGACAAACCUCUGGUGUACCAGUUGUCAUGUUCAUGGCACAGCUGGGUAGCUAAGUUUGGACGGGAUAAACGCUGAAAGCAUCUAAGCGUGAAGCCUCCUUCAAGAUGAGAUUUCCUAAACCUUCAAGGUUAUAAGAUCCCUGAAAGACAAACAGGUUGAUAGGUCUGGAGUGGAAGACAGUAAUGUACGUAGCGGACAGAUACUAAUGAUCGAAGACUUGACCAC